UACAGAGGGUGCGAGCGUUAAUCGGAAUUACUGGGCGUAAAGCGCACGUAGGCGGCUUGGUAUGUCGGGUGUGAAAUCCCCGGGCUCAACCUGGGAACUGCAUCCGAAACUGCCUUGCUAGAGUAUGGGAGAGGGAAGUGGAAUUCCGGGUGUAGCGGUGGAAUGCGUAGAGAUCCGGAAGAACACCAGUGGCGAAGGCGGCCUGCUGGGCAGUUGCUGACGCUGAGGCGCGACAGCGUGGGGAGCAAACAGG
Molecule: ribosomal RNA, 253 nt
Filed under: uncultured bacterium
Lineage: Bacteria
Description: partial 16S ribosomal RNA
Rfam family: Bacterial small subunit ribosomal RNA
Source: RNAcentral